RNAcentral lists this ribosomal RNA (444 nucleotides) under Klebsiella pneumoniae. RNAcentral's name for it is "bacterial SSU rRNA". It matches the Rfam family "Bacterial small subunit ribosomal RNA", at positions 10 to 453 of the family's 1533-position model. Lineage: Bacteria; Pseudomonadati; Pseudomonadota; Gammaproteobacteria; Enterobacterales; Enterobacteriaceae. The record is from RNAcentral.
AGUUUGAUCCUGGCUCAGAUUGAACGCUGGCGGCAGGCCUAACACAUGCAAGUCGAGCGGUAGCACAGAGAGCUUGCUCUCGGGUGACGAGCGGCGGACGGGUGAGUAAUGUCUGGGAAACUGCCUGAUGGAGGGGGAUAACUACUGGAAACGGUAGCUAAUACCGCAUAAYGUCGCAAGACCAAAGUGGGGGACCUUCGGGCCUCAUGCCAUCAGAUGUGCCCAGAUGGGAUUAGCUAGUAGGUGGGGUAACGGCUCACCUAGGCGACGAUCCCUAGCUGGUYUGAGAGGAUGACCAGCCACACUGGAACUGAGACACGGUCCAGACUCCUACGGGAGGCAGCAGUGGGGAAUAUUGCACAAUGGGCGCAAGCCUGAUGCAGCCAUGCCGCGUGUGUGAAGAAGGCCUUCGGGUUGUAAAGCACUUCAGCGGGGAGGAAGGCG